This 253-nucleotide ribosomal RNA is filed under the name uncultured bacterium. RNAcentral describes it as "partial 16S ribosomal RNA". It matches the Rfam family "Bacterial small subunit ribosomal RNA", at positions 524 to 776 of the family's 1533-position model. The record is from RNAcentral.
UACAGGGGGGGCAAGCGUUGUUCGGAAUUACUGGGCGUAAAGGGGUAGUAGGCGGCCAACUAAGUCCGACGUGAAAUCCCAAGGCUUAACCUUGGAACUGCGUCGGAUACUGGAUGGCUUGGAUUCGGGAGAGGAAUGCGGAAUUCCAGGUGUAGCGGUGAAAUGCGUAGAUAUCUGGAGGAACACCGGUGGCGAAGGCGGCAUUCUGGACCGAUAUUGACGCUGAGGAGCGAAAGCCAGGGGGGCAAACGGG